RNAcentral lists this small RNA (837 nucleotides) under Pongo abelii (Sumatran orangutan). Its description in RNAcentral is "processed transcript". The record is from RNAcentral. Lineage: Eukaryota; Metazoa; Chordata; Mammalia; Primates; Hominidae.
CAAGGCAGAGACACCCCCACUGGCGGCCUCCCCACCCCAGCAGCGCCCCCCAGAGCCUGGGACCGGUGAGAGUGCGGGCACAUCCCGGGCUGCCACGCCCCUGCCCUCUCUGAGGGUGGAAGCGGAGGCUGGGGGCUCAGGGGCCAGGACCCCUCCACUGUCGCGGAGGAAAGCUGUAGACAUGCGGCUGCGGAUGGAUUUGGGUGCUCCAGAGGAGAUGGGGCAGGUGCCCCCACUUGACUCUCGCCCCAGCUCCCCGGCCGUCUACUUCGCCCACGAUGCCAGCCUGGUUCACAAAUCUCCAGACCCCUUCGGAGCAGUAGCAGCUCAGAAAUUCAGCCUGGCCCACUCCAUGUUGGCCAUCAGUGGUCACCUAGACAGCGACGAUGAUAGUGGCUCCGGAAGCUUGGUUGGCAUUGACAACAAAAUCGAGCAAGCCAUGAGAGAUGGUUGUGGUCAUGAAGUUCUUCCGAUGGGUUAGACGGGCUUGGCAAAGGAUUAUUUCCUGGGUUUUCUUCUGGAGGCAGAAAAUUAAACCAACCAUCUCAGGACACCCUGACUCCAAGAAACACUCAUUGAAGAAGAUGGAGAAGACUCUCCAGGUGGCUGAGACUUUGAGGUUGGUCGAGCCCCCAAAAGAGGCUAAGCCCAAGUUGGGUGAGUCCCCUGAGCUGGCAGAUCCCUGCUUGUUGGCCAAGACUACAGAGGAGACCGAGGUGGAGCUGGGCCAACAGGGCCGAUCCCUGCUGCAGCUGCCGAGGACGGCCGUCAAGUCUGUCUCCACACUCAUGGUCUCUGCCCUGCAGAGCGGCUGGCAGAUGUGCAGCUGGAAGGUCA